RNAcentral lists this ribosomal RNA (441 nucleotides) under Staurois latopalmatus (Sabah splash frog). RNAcentral's name for it is "partial 12S rRNA". It matches the Rfam family "Bacterial small subunit ribosomal RNA", at positions 794 to 1446 of the family's 1533-position model. The record is from RNAcentral. Lineage: Eukaryota; Metazoa; Chordata; Amphibia; Anura; Ranidae.
GCCCAGCCGUAAACUAUUAACUUACACCAAAAAACGCCAGGGGACUACGAGCAAAGCUUAAAACCCAAAGGACUUGACGGUGUCCUAUCCAGCUAGAGGAGCCUGUCCUAUAAUCGAUAAUCCCCGCUAUACCUCACCAUUUCUUGCUUAUCAGCCUGUAUACCGCCGUCGAAAGCUGACCGUAUGAACGUCCAAAGUCAGCUAAAUGGCCACCCGCCAAUACGUCAGGUCAAGGUGCAGCUUAUGAAAUGGGAAGAGAUGGGCUACAAUUUCUAGUAUAGAACAUACGGAUUGUUAGGUGAAACCCUAACAUGAAGGAGGAUUUAGUAGUAAAAAGAAAAUAGAGUGUUCUUUUGAAUUAGGCCCUGGGACGCGUACACACCGCCCGUCACCCCCCUCGAUAGCAUCUCUUAACAGUACAUAACACAAUAUUCGCGCCUU